UUUCCGUAGGUGAACCUGCGGAAGGAUCAUUACUGAGUGAGGGCCCUCUGGGUCCAACCUCCCACCCGUGUUUAUUGUGCCUUGUUGCUUCGGUGCGCCCGCCUCACGGCCGCCGGGGGGCUUCUGCCCCCGGGUCCGCGCGCACCGGAGACACCAUUGAACUCUGUCUGAAGAUUGCAGUCUGAGCAUAAACUAAAUAAGUUAAAACUUUCAACAACGGAUCUCUUGGUUCCG
RNAcentral lists this unclassified non-coding RNA (234 nucleotides) under plant metagenome. RNAcentral's name for it is "partial contains small subunit ribosomal RNA, internal transcribed spacer 1, and 5.8S ribosomal RNA". The record is from RNAcentral.